This 267-nucleotide long non-coding RNA is filed under the name Rattus norvegicus (Norway rat). Its description in RNAcentral is "long non-coding RNA NONRATT031866". The record is from RNAcentral. Lineage: Eukaryota; Metazoa; Chordata; Mammalia; Rodentia; Muridae.
CUCGAAUUCAUUCCUGUUGGCUAAAUUAAAAGGACUCCAGCCCACACGAUGCUAACUAAGCACUGAAUGGGGAAUCCCAAAGUAACAGACCCAGAGGAAGAGUCCAGCCUCUCCAUCCGCAAUAAUCCAAUCAGCCUCAGCGGGGAGGCCCGCCGCCCGCACCCCGCAAGAGAAGGCGAGCACCAAGCAGAGCCAACGCACACCACUACUUUCUCUUUUCCUUGCGAGCUAAGUUGAACAGAAUUAAAACGAAAAAAAAAUCCACAC